RNAcentral lists this ribosomal RNA (433 nucleotides) under uncultured bacterium. RNAcentral's name for it is "partial 16S ribosomal RNA". It matches the Rfam family "Bacterial small subunit ribosomal RNA", at positions 28 to 507 of the family's 1533-position model. The record is from RNAcentral.
GACGAACGCUGGCGGCAUGCCUAACACAUGCAAGUCGAACGAGACCUUCCGGUUUAUUGGCGCUCGGCUGCGUAACGCCUGGUAACUUGCCCUUAGGUUCGCUAUACCUCCCCUAAAGGUGUCCUAAUACCGGAUAAUCUCUUCGCACCUAAGAUUUCUCGCCUUUGGGUGGGCCCUCGUUGGAUUCGCUAGUUGGUAGGGUAAAAGCCUACCAUGGCCACGAUCCAUAGCUGGUCUGAGAGGAUGAACAUCCACACUAGAACUACGACACGGACCAGAAUGGUACGGGAAGCAGCAGAGGGGAAUAUAGGACAAGGAAGGAAAGCCUGAUCAAGCAACGCGCGGGAAGAGAGGAAGGGGUUAGGGUUGUAAAGCUGUUUUACCCGGGAUGAUAAUGACGGUACCGGGAGAAUAAGCACCGGCUAACUCCGUG